ACGCCUAACACAUGCAAGUCGAACGAAGUAGCAAUACUUAGUGGCAGACGGGUGAGUAACAUGUAGGUAUCUGCCCUAUGGCCUGGAAUAACACGAGGAAACUUGUGCUAAUACCGGAUAAGUCUUUACGGAGAAAGCUUUAUGCACCAUUGGAUGAGCCUGCACUUGAUUAGUUUGUUGGUAGGGUAAUGGCCUACCAAGACUUUGAUCAAUAGCUGAUUUGAGAGGAUGAUCAGCCACAUUGGGACUGAGACACGGCCCAAACUCCUACGGGAGGCAGCAGUGGGGAAUCUUGCACAAUGGAGGAAACUCUGAUGCAGCGAUGCCGCGUGAGUGAAGAAGGCCUUUGGGUUGUAAAGCUCUUUCGUCGGGGAAGAAAAUGACUGUACCCGAAUAAGAAGGUCCGGCUAACUUCGUGCCAGCAGCCGCGGUAAUACGAAGGGACCUAGCGUAGUUCGGAAUUACUGGGCUUAAAGAGUUCGUAGGUGGUUGAAAAAGUUGGUGGUGAAAUCCCAGAGCUUAACUCUGGAACUGCCAUCAAAACUUUUCAGCUAGAGUAUGAUAGAGGAAAGCAGAAUUUCUAGUGUAGAGGUGAAAUUCGUAGAUAUUAGAAAGAAUACCAAUUGCGAAGGCAGCUUUCUGGAUCAUUACUGACACUGAGGAACGAAAGCAUGGGUAGCGAAGAGGAUUAGAUACCCUCGUAGUCCAUGCCGUAAACGAUGUGUGUUAGACGUUGGAAAUUUAUUUUCAGUGUCGCAGCGAAAGCGAUAAACACACCGCCUGGGGAGUACGACC
RNAcentral lists this ribosomal RNA (795 nucleotides) under uncultured Pelagibacteraceae bacterium. RNAcentral describes it as "bacterial SSU rRNA". It matches the Rfam family "Bacterial small subunit ribosomal RNA", at positions 44 to 887 of the family's 1533-position model. Lineage: Bacteria; Pseudomonadati; Pseudomonadota; Alphaproteobacteria; Candidatus Pelagibacterales; Candidatus Pelagibacteraceae. The record is from RNAcentral.